UUUAUGCAGUUUAAGGUAAGUAUUAUUUUAUUAUUUUAAUCUAUUUAUAGGUAUUUUAUAACUAAUUAAUUAUUUCUUUCUUCUAGGUCUAAUGGAUUAUUGAUUAAAGGACAUCCAAAGUAUUGGUUCCUAUCAGCAAGGUGGGUCGUGCUGCUUCACUGAUGUCUGCAACAACUAAUGCUAAGACAGCACUGCAAUGGGUUUCUGUGGCUCUGGAACCAUCAUGUUGGCAACUUGACUCUGCAGAUGGAACAAUAGCUCAGAAAAUGAGGGUGGGUUAUUCUUCUUCUGCUCCAGCUGGAGGUCAGCAAGUAACCCAUUAUCCCAACAUCCACGACAAAACUGGCGUAACAGGUGCCUGUUCUCCUCACUGGUGGGUAGACUGCCUUGUUUGAUCACUUUACUUAAAACAAUGUAGAGCCUUUGGAGGUAUUCGGACGGCUUUUCACCAGCAUCCUGUAGAGUAUUCAGAAAUCUUGCGAAGAGCUCAUCACCGUCUUCAACAGUGGCGAAAGCUGAGUCAAGUAGGUCUAGAUAAGCUCUUGGAGUAGCCUGUGGACUCAGAUGCUUUACUAGAUUAGCUGCUGGAGGCAAAAGACUAUCAAGAACUCUUCUGGAUCGACACAAGUCUGACACUGCAGGGUCUUGCAACAGUAGUUCAACGUUGUUUCUCCAUGUCUCAUAGUCAACCUCAUUAUUAGGAUGGGGUUUCUUCCCUGAAAAGACUCUAAGCCUUACUGGGGCAUUUGCAUGUGCUGCAGUUUCUCCACUCCUUACAACAUGUUCAACAACAACGCGUUGAAUAGCAGGAGGGUUCAAUUCCUCUGGUG
Astyanax mexicanus (Mexican tetra) is the source of this 830-nucleotide long non-coding RNA. RefSeq lists it as uncharacterized. The record is from RefSeq and is a predicted model, not a curated record. The transcript has 4 exons. Lineage: Eukaryota; Metazoa; Chordata; Actinopteri; Characiformes; Acestrorhamphidae.